CUGGCGUCACGUCUCACCGGGUUGAGCCAUCGACGACACCACGCAGUGACUCGCAGCAGCCGUUGCAGCGUCGGGAACCGCAGAAGAAGGUCCGGUUCGGUAAUGACUGGCGCCUUGACUACCAGGCUGGUGACUCGUUGCUCAGGGAGGUCAUCCUCUGGGACGUCGAUGUCUGCACCAGGCCAGGCAGCCUCGUCUCCUGACAGCCAGGGUUUUCUCGUCCGGCGACGUGUCUCCAAUGAGCGUCUGGAAGCAGGGUCUGGAUCUGCGACACUCGGUUGGCAACAAAGGUCUUCCAGCGGGUGCAGUGUCCGCGAAUCCAGUGAAGAGUGACCUUGGAGUCGGACCACAGGUGCACCGGCGUAGCAGCCAAGCCGAGGGUAGUGCGUACAUGCAACAUGAGCGUGCGUUGCGGAUGUAUACGACGGCGGCGUAUCCUCGCUCCGAUGCAUCGGCAAACCCAUGGAGCUGCAGUUGCGACUGGUCAUCUCCGGUGCUGAGCCAACGAUCCACACGGAUGUGAUCCAGCAACGGAAGUUGAUUCAGCAGUUGUCUCCAGCGGUGUGCGUCCUGAUCAGGCAGCGGAGAGUCCCAAUCCAGCCGUUGAAGCCACGUAGACUGGAUCAGAAUUUUGGCUCGGAUGACGACAGGCGCUAGCCAGCCCAUCGGAUCGAAUAGUCGAGCUGUCUCGGCCAAGACUCGUCUCUUCGUGAGGUCGGUGGUUGAACGCGGACGUAUGGUGAAGGAGAACCAAUCCCCUUGAGGAUGCCAUCGAAGACCCAGGGUGGCGUGGCUCUCUCCUUCCCACGAGCGCGGUCCGCGUUGAAGCCGAUGUUCCGGCGGAAUUCCGGUGAGCACCUGCUGGUUGUUGGCAGCCCACUUUCGCAAAGGAAACCCGCCCGCCAUGCAGAGACUCUGUAGUUCCUGUUGGAGUUUGAUGGCAUCCGCCAGGCUGUCAGCACCGGUGACCACGUCGUCGACGUAACAGUCUUGUCGCAGCGCCCUGACUCCGCGUGGAUAUCGUGCCUCUUCGUCUGCAGCAAGUUGGUGAAGCGUCCUGAUGGCGAGGAAGGGUGCGCACGCCAGUCCGUAGGUCACGGUCUUCAACUCGUACUCGCAGAUGUUGUCUGAGCUGUUGUGGCGCCACAGGAUGGUUUGCAGGCGACAAUCCUCCGGAUGAACAAGAAUUUGUCGGUACAUUUUCUCGAUGUCCGUGACGAAAACGUACCGAUGCCAACGCCAACGGAGUAAGACGUCAGCGAGUGCUGGCAAGAGGUUAGCUCCAGUGAGGAGGUGCGAGUUCAGCGACUCUCCGGACCGUGUGCGUUGGGAGCCGUUGAACACAACCCUGAGCUUCGUGGUCGUGCUCGACUCCUUGAG
Molecule: non-coding RNA, 1380 nt
Organism: Nylanderia fulva
Lineage: Eukaryota; Metazoa; Arthropoda; Insecta; Hymenoptera; Formicidae
Source: RefSeq, a predicted model, not a curated record